This 73-nucleotide transfer RNA is filed under the name Hymenolepis microstoma. Its description in RNAcentral is "partial tRNA-Trp". Lineage: Eukaryota; Metazoa; Platyhelminthes; Cestoda; Cyclophyllidea; Hymenolepididae. The record is from RNAcentral.
GUUUUCAAAAUAUUUAGAGAUUUGUAAGGGUCAUCUUAUGAUUAUGAAUAUUUCUAAAAUCUAUUGUUGAGUU